RNAcentral lists this ribosomal RNA (468 nucleotides) under uncultured bacterium. RNAcentral's name for it is "partial 16S ribosomal RNA". It matches the Rfam family "Bacterial small subunit ribosomal RNA", at positions 28 to 507 of the family's 1533-position model. The record is from RNAcentral.
GACGAACGCUGGCGGCGUGCUUAACACAUGCAAGUCGAACGGAAAGGCCCUGCUUUUGUGGGGUGCUCGAGUGGUGAACGGGUGAGUAACACGUGAGUAACCUGCCCUUGACUUUGGGAUAACUUCAGGAAACUGGGGCUAAUACCGGAUAGGAGCUCCUGCUGCAUGGUGGGGGUUGGAAAGUUUCGGCGGUUGGGGAUGGACUCGCGGCUUAUCAGCUUGUUGGUGGGGUAGUGGCUUACCAAGGCUUUGACGGGUAGCCGGCCUGAGAGGGUGACCGGCCACAUUGGGACUGAGAUACGGCCCAGACUCCUACGGGAGGCAGCAGUGGGGAAUAGUGCACAAUGGGCGGAAGCCUGAUGCAGCAACGCCGCGUGCGGGAUGACGGCCUUCGGGUUGUAAACCGCUUUCGCCUGUGACGAAGCGUGAGUGACGGUAAUGGGUAAAGAAGCACCGGCUAACUACGUG